UACGUAGGGGGCAAGCGUUGUCCGGAAUCAUUGGGCGUAAAGCGCGUGUAGGCGGCUUGGUAAGUCCGCUCUGAAAGCCCGGGGCUCAACCCCGGGAGGCGGGUGGAUACUGUCAAGCUCGAGUCCGGAAGAGGCGAGUGGAAUUCCUGGUGUAGCGGUGAAAUGCGCAGAUAUCAGGAGGAACACCGAUUGCGAAGGCAGCUCGCUGGGACGUUACUGACGCUGAGACGCGAAAGCGUGGGGAGCAAACAGG
RNAcentral lists this ribosomal RNA (253 nucleotides) under uncultured bacterium. RNAcentral's name for it is "partial 16S ribosomal RNA". It matches the Rfam family "Bacterial small subunit ribosomal RNA", at positions 524 to 776 of the family's 1533-position model. The record is from RNAcentral.